AAGCCGUGAGGUGGAGCAAAGCCCAAAAAAGACAGUCUCAGUUCGGAUUGAAGGCUGAAAUUCGCCUUCAUGAAGCCGGAAUUGCUAGUAAUGGCAGGUCAGCAUACUGCCGUGAAUACGUUCCCGGGCCUUGUACACACCGCCCGUCACACCAUGAGAGUUGGGAAUACCCGAAGCCUGUGAGCUAACGUUAAGAGGCAGCAGUCGAAGGUAGAAUCAAUGAUUGGGGUGAAGUCGUAACAAGGUACC
Molecule: ribosomal RNA, 249 nt
Filed under: uncultured bacterium
Lineage: Bacteria
Description: partial 16S ribosomal RNA
Rfam family: Bacterial small subunit ribosomal RNA
Source: RNAcentral